ACACACACACACACACACACACACACACACACACACUUUUUUUCCUGAACUAUGGGAUGUAAGUUGCAUUACAGCCUGCUUUUUUACUCUAAUUGUUCAGUGUGUUUUUCCUAAGAACAAGGAUAUUUCUCUUACAAAAUUAUAGUAUAUUUAUCAUAUUUAGGAAAUUAACAUAAAUACAGUACUUUAAUCUACAGUCCCUAUUUCAGUUUUUACAACUGUCCAUGUAAUGUUCUUAUGACAGUUUUGUUUCUUCAAUACAAGAUUAUGUAGCAUUUAACUGCCAUAGGUCUUUAGUCUUCUGUAAAAUGGAGCAGUUCCUCAGUCUUUAAUGACAUAGACAUAUUUAAAGAAUACUGGCCAGUGAUUUUAUAGGAUGUUUCUCAAUUUGGAUUUGUCAAAUGUUUCCCCAUGAUUAAAUUCACAUUAUUCAUCCUGGCCCUGAAUAUCAUGUGCCAGAUAUAAAGUUGUACUCAAACAAAGGGUGAAAUCUUGUUGAAAAGACACAAGUCAGCCUGAAGGAGUUCCCCUUACCCAAUUAAAUUAGGAUAAAUGAUGAUAAUGCAUUGACUAAAACUGGAAUGCAUAUUAUCUUAUUCUAAACAAGCAAGCAAGUAGGGGAAAAGGAGUUCUUCCCUUCUGUAGGAUAUUUUUUUAGUAAAUUUAUAUUCUUACCUUUAUUUCUUAAUACUUUCUUUGGGUUUAUUAUAUUCAUUUUUAACAUUCUAAAUUGGGCAUUGAGUUUGUUUUCAGAUUUUUAUUUUCAGUCUAAGCUUUUUAAACUACAAAUUUCCUUUUUGGCUUCUUGUUUUGGCUUGUUCCACUACACAAAUUUUUAUAUGGAGUUAAUUUUAUUUUCUUUUGGUUCUAAGGGUUUUCUAAUUCUCAUGCCAGUUUCUUUGAUUCACUUGUCAUUUAGAAGUAGGUAUAAUUUUUUUUCAAAAAAAUAGGUAUUUUAAACUUAAUUUUAAAUUGAAUUGCAUUAUGUUGAGACAGUGUAGUCUAUGUGAUAACAAUUAUAUUUGUCAAGAUAUAUGUUAUAUUGUGGGUAAAUGAUUAAUUUACCUAAGUGUUCCACAUAUUUUAGAAAAAUAUAUUUUUCAGGUAUUUUAUACAGGUUUCUGUGUGUCUCCCGUAGGUCAAACAUUUUAAUGUUGAUAUUCAAAUAUGCUUUAUCUUUACUAAUUUUGUGUCUAUUUCUUCUGUCAAUUAUUGAGACAUUUAUUUAGAUAUCUUACUGUGAUUGUAUAUUGGCCAAGUUUUUCUUAUGCUCUUUUAUUUUUGCGAAAGAAAAAUUUAUGGAUUAUAUUUCUACUAAGUGAACUUUAUUCAUUAUACCUUUUAACCUAAGAGUCCGUUUUGCUUAUUACUGUCAGUAUCCACUACCUUCCCAAUAUUAUGAUGUCAAGUUAAUUUCCAGCUGCACACUUUUUCAUAUCCUUGUAGUCAUGUGAGCCUCCAGUUAAAUUUUAUUCCAUUUGUUGUUUUUCUAAUUUUUAUUAUGUGUACAUGUACGUGUAUACUUUCUCACCUCACUUAUUUCAGUAGGAACUAGGUAGGAGUGUGGUUUUAUUUAUGUAUGGAAACUGUAGUUAUUGGUGUUUCAGUUACUAUCUUUUUUGAGUGAAAGUAAAAUGUGUAUGUAUGGCUGUCAAAUAUUUGAUGCCUUUUCUAACUUGCUGUUUUUUAUAUGAACUAUUUAAUUGUACGAAAAUAAUAUGCAUUAAAAUAAUGUGAUAUCAUUUGAAAAUAUGAUACUGUUUUCCUUCCUUCUUUCCUCCCUUAUUCUUUUUUUUUUCUCCCUCCUUUCCUUCCUUCUGGGGUAGCUGAAGGUAACUAAACUACUGUUGUGUGAGAAUCACUGCCAUUGCUGCUUCUGUUACUUUUUUUUUUUUUCUUUUCAAUUUCUAAAUUCUCACUGUAGUCAGAACAAACAGAUUUCCCCUCUUAACUUAAUGUCUUAUUCUUCAAAACACAAAUUUAUGUUAAUAGACAAUUCUGAAAACAUGUAUUUGAUAACAUAAUUCUAUGUAGACUGUCAUAAUAUAUUUCAUAAAGGGUACCAGUUUUUAUAUCAUUCAGAAACUUAAAAUUCAAAGCGGCAACUAUUUGAGAUAUCAGUUAUUGACUUUGGUUAUCAAGUAAUUUAAUUUGAAUUCGAAAUUAUUAUUUUAAAACCAAAAUUAUUUUCCGUUGGAUUCAAAGGUAUUUCAGAAAGUUACUAGUCAAAAUGUUUUUGUCUGGUUACCAAGCGACUACUUCUUGGAUAACACUAUUUGUGAACAUGUAAUUAUCUACUUGUAAGGUAGCAACUAUAAUAAAGUACAUAGUAGUUUAAAAGUAUAUACUUAAUUGUACUUUCUUCUACCAAAUUAUUAGUUGUUAUUAGUGAAACAAAAAUACAUUUAUGCCCAUUUUUGGCUUGGUCUAUUUUAGAUGCUUCUGGUUAGCAACACAGUUAUUUUACGAUGGGAGCUCUGCUCUAUAUUUCCCAAAAUAGCUUGGAAUACGUCUUCAGAAGUUGUAAUUAUUUAGUAACCACAGUUUCUCUCCUUUUUUCCCCCUUAAAUUCUUACCCUGGAACCUUUUUCAGAUGAAGGAAAAUAAUUGGAGAUUGAAGCAUUUUUUUAGCCUUUAAAAUCCUUUCACUUAAACUCUUCAGAAUUUGUUCACAUAAAUUCUUUGAAGUGCUUAAUACUUCUAUCUGUCUCUCAAACACCUAUCUCCAUACUCAAAAAUCACCUCUUUUCAUAAGUAAUCAUCUCCCAUCCUCGCAUAGCAAGUAACCUAUUGUGGGGUAGUGGCAUCAUCUGGUCACCAGCAUCAUCAUCACUACUAAGAUUUAUUGAAGAUUUACUACGUAUCGGCAGUAUUUUGAAUACCUUAUGUAUUAUCUAAUUCUCAAAAGUCAGCUGGAUUGUGAAUGGUAGAGACUGGAUGGGACCCAGCAGGUCUUGACUAUAAAGCCCACAAGCUUAACUAAUUACUACACUGAAUUUCUCUUACGCAGUAGUAACACUUUUCUUCUUCCUUUGGAAGUGUAUGUGUCAUGUUCCUGACCUAUUCUAUUUUUCAUAGCUUAGUCAUUACUUUGAACAUUUUUCAUGUAUAUGAAAAUUUAUUUUCAUUAAUCACUUUUCUUCUUCCACUGUCUCUUAUCCUGGUGCAGUAUAAGGAAACCAUUUGUCUUCCCUCUCCCUUCAUCUGUAUCAGAUUUUGAUAAAUUUAUGUCAACAACAGUUUCAGUUUUCUUAAAGUCCGGAGUUCACCUGUUUAUCUGUUUUUUCAUAAUUAACGUCUGUUUAAUGUUAACAGACGAAAUAAUAAAAAAUAAAAAUAAAU
This is a long non-coding RNA of Sapajus apella (tufted capuchin), 3342 nucleotides long. RefSeq lists it as uncharacterized. Lineage: Eukaryota; Metazoa; Chordata; Mammalia; Primates; Cebidae. The transcript is spliced from 2 exons. The record is from RefSeq and is a predicted model, not a curated record.